CCCCUUAGAGUUUGAUCCUGGCUCAAGAUGAACGCUGGCGGUGCGCUUAAUACAUGCAAGUCGAGGGCCAACUUUUUGUAUCACUUUGUGGGUGGCGACUGGAUGAGUGGGACAUUUUCCGUUUGAAUCCUUCCUUAGAGAGGAGAGUAUUCCAAACUCCCCCCGAUUAAUACCCCGCCCUUAUUGGAGUGAUUACUAUUUGAAUUACCCAUUUAUCUAUUGAAGAUGGCUGUGCGUCUAAUUCCUGUAUCCGAUAAGCUAUGUGGCGGGGUACCAGCCAUCCAUGGCUGGGGUGGGAACCUGACCUGACACGACGACCCUGCUACAUGGACCUGACUCCUGGGGCAUACACCUACGGGGGGUAUUGGUGAGGGAUCUUCCGUCAGAAACAACCGUGCGAUGGAGAGAAUGAACGUCCUCGAGAUUGGUUUUUUUUUUGAUCUCUUCUUUUCUCAGGGACUUUCUUGACAGCUGACGAUAAAAAAUGGAUAGCUACCUAUGUGCUCCCUGCCGCCAUCCUACAUAAUACCGAAGCGUGCAUCCGUAAUUACUGAUUCGUUGGGUUUCUGCGGGUGCGUAGGUGGUGUAAUACGUCAACUACCGAGAUGUCAGCCCCUUAGUUUGUGUCUUUGACUGUUAUUUCUGUGAGUGAUCGAAUCGUAUGGAGGUUGUUUAAGAAAGGAGACAUUGUCACUGCUGUAGAUCACCUAUGAAAAUAUCACCAGAAAUACCAAGUCGCCAUAGUGGGGUCUCUGACUCUACUCUCAGACACUAAAGCGUGAGGGACGCUGAGAGGAGAUUACCAGGAUUAUAUACUCGACGUAGUCAACGUAUGAAAAGAAAGGUAGUACUCGUUCCUUGUAGAAUCAAUUGCCGGUGGCCUACGCGUUAAGUGCAUACCUCCUCGCACUCUGGACGGACUUACGUGCUCAUGACUCGAUCCUAAGAUGUCGACGGACAGCAUGACUCGUGUGAACAUGGUUCUAACUCCGAUAAUGGACACCGCC
RNAcentral lists this ribosomal RNA (1007 nucleotides) under uncultured bacterium. RNAcentral's name for it is "partial 16S ribosomal RNA". The record is from RNAcentral.